UACGGAGGGGGCUAGCGUUGUUCGGAAUUACUGGGCGUAAAGCGCACGUAGGCGGCUUUGUAAGUUAGAGGUGAAAGCCCAGGGCUUAACCUUGGAAUUGCCUUUAAGACUGCAUCGCUAGAAUCGUGGAGAGGUGAGUGGAAUUCCGAGUGUAGAGGUGAAAUUCGUAGAUAUUCGGAAGAACACCAGUGGCGAAGGCGACUCACUGGACACGUAUUGACGCUGAGGUGCGAAAGCGUGGGGAGCAAACAGG
Molecule: ribosomal RNA, 253 nt
Filed under: uncultured bacterium
Lineage: Bacteria
Description: partial 16S ribosomal RNA
Rfam family: Bacterial small subunit ribosomal RNA
Source: RNAcentral